This is a long non-coding RNA of Saccostrea cuccullata (small rock oyster), 224 nucleotides long. RefSeq lists it as uncharacterized. The record is from RefSeq and is a predicted model, not a curated record. The transcript is spliced from 3 exons. NCBI's taxonomy places the organism in Eukaryota, Metazoa, Mollusca, Bivalvia, Ostreida, Ostreidae.
AGAGACAUAGGCAUUGUUUACCCCUUUUACGAGAAUAUGAGGACAAACUUUCGGAAAAUAAUGAAAAACUGAGACGGUCUGCACCAGCUCCGUAGAUCCAUCACUGUAAUUUCAGGCCAGCUGUCAAGAGUUUUCAGGCUUAAAGAAUGAAUAAAUAAAAAAUGCAUCAAUUUCUCCAUAGGGCCUAGCCAUUCCCCCAAAAACUGGACCAAUGGAUUCAUUCA